Non-coding RNA from Salmo salar (Atlantic salmon), 57 nucleotides. Lineage: Eukaryota; Metazoa; Chordata; Actinopteri; Salmoniformes; Salmonidae. The record is from Rfam.
UGGCUCAGUGGUAGAGCAUGGUGUGCGCAACGCCAGGGUGGUGGGUUCGAUUCCCAC